UCGCUACUACCGAUUGAAUGAUUAGGUGAGAUUUUCGGACUGGGGCGUGACCGCUGGUAACAGAGGUAAUGCCUUGGGAAGUUGCUCAAACUUGAUUAUUUAGAGGAUGGAG
This 112-nucleotide ribosomal RNA is filed under the name uncultured eukaryote. RNAcentral describes it as "partial small subunit ribosomal RNA". The record is from RNAcentral.